AUCCAGUUGAGGCGAGUCCCAAAUAGGACGAACUGCGCAUCCUGGAU
Molecule: non-coding RNA, 47 nt
Filed under: Trichobilharzia regenti
Lineage: Eukaryota; Metazoa; Platyhelminthes; Trematoda; Strigeidida; Schistosomatidae
Source: RNAcentral